UCCUGUUGACCUACACCCUCAGCCUUGGA
RNAcentral lists this small RNA (29 nucleotides) under Bombyx mori (domestic silkworm). RNAcentral's name for it is "ovarian small RNA-27996". Lineage: Eukaryota; Metazoa; Arthropoda; Insecta; Lepidoptera; Bombycidae. The record is from RNAcentral.